GACGAACGCUGGCGGCGUGCUUAACACAUGCGAGUCGAACGGAAAGGCCCUGCUCUUGUGGGGUGCUCGAGUGGCGAACGGGGGAGUAACACGUGAGUAACCUGCCCUUGACUUUGGGAUAACUUCAGGAAACUGGGGCUAAUACCGGAUAGGAGCUCCUGCUGCACGGUGGGGGUUGGAAAGUUUCGGCGGUUGGGGAUGGACUCGCGGCUUAUCAGCUUGUUGGUGGGGUAGUGGCUUACCAAGGCUUUGACGGGUAGCCGGCCUGAGAGGGUGACCGGCCACAUUGGGACUGAGAUACGGCCCAGACUCCUACGGGAGGCAGCAGUGGGGAAUAUUGCACAAUGGGCGGAAGCCUGAUGCAGCAACGCCGCGUGCGGGAUGACGGCCUUCGGGUUGUAAACCGCUUUCGCCUGUGACGAAGCGUGAGUGACGGUAAUGGGUAAAGAAGCACCGGCUAACUACGUG
Molecule: ribosomal RNA, 468 nt
Filed under: uncultured bacterium
Lineage: Bacteria
Description: partial 16S ribosomal RNA
Rfam family: Bacterial small subunit ribosomal RNA
Source: RNAcentral